GGGGAUGACCGGUUUCGACGGGAAGCUCUUUAACAAAACAGCAAGCCAAGUUUGAUAAACACUUGUAAAAAGAUAUCAAAAAAUAAAAGCAAAACCUAACAGUUAUGCUUCUAAUUUCCAAUAUGCUUUGGCAUAUUCUUAAUUAGCGUCCUGACGUUUGGUUCUCGACUGAACUGACUGGGUGUAAACCAAUUCGAGAUGCUAACUAAUUUCUUUUGAUUUAGAGAAAUUUUUUAAAAGAUAAUUAAAUCUUACUUUAGAUUCCUGUUAGUUGGAUAAAUUUAAAGGAAAAAUUAUUAACUAAAUAAGCUUGUAGAAGUUUUGUUUUUAAGUUUUUCGGAUGAGGGUUCGAUUCCCUCCAUCUCCACCA
Molecule: transfer-messenger RNA, 370 nt
Filed under: Patescibacteria group
Lineage: Bacteria
Also listed under: 6 other names
Description: GWF1-31-35 sp001029755 Standard tmRNA
Rfam family: transfer-messenger RNA
About the family: Bacterial tmRNA, also known as 10Sa RNA or SsrA, is named for its dual tRNA and mRNA-like properties. Its role is to liberate the mRNA from a stalled ribosome.
Source: RNAcentral